RNAcentral lists this ribosomal RNA (140 nucleotides) under Pseudoalteromonas porphyrae. Its description in RNAcentral is "partial 23S ribosomal RNA". It matches the Rfam family "Bacterial large subunit ribosomal RNA", at positions 1 to 132 of the family's 2925-position model. Lineage: Bacteria; Pseudomonadati; Pseudomonadota; Gammaproteobacteria; Alteromonadales; Pseudoalteromonadaceae. The record is from RNAcentral.
GUUGUAUGGUUAAGUGACUAAGCGUACACGGUGGAUGCCUUGGCAGUUGGAGGCGAUGAAGGACGUAUUAACUUGCGAUAAGCCUAGUCAAGCUAGUAAAAAGCACUUGAGACUAGGAUUUCCGAAUGGGGAAACCCACC